AGAGUUCGAUUAUGGCUCAGAACGAACGCUGGCGGCAGGCCUAACACAUGCAAGUCGAGCGAGAUCUUCGGAUCUAGCGGCGGACGGGUUAGUAACGCGUGGGAACGUGCCCUUCACUACGGAAUAGUCCCGGGAAACUGGGUUUAAUACCGUAUACGCCCUUCGGGGGAAAGAUUUAUCGGUGAAGGAUCGGCCCGCGUCUGAUUAGAUAGUUGGUGGGGUAAUGGCCUACCAAGUCUACGAUCAGUAGCUGGUUUGAGAGGAUGAUCAGCAACACUGGGACUGAGACACGGCCCAGACUCCUACGGGAGGCAGCAGUGGGGAAUCUUAGACAAUGGGCGCAGGCCUGAUCUAGCCAUGCCGCGUGAGUGAUGAAGGCCUUAGGGUCGUAAAGCUCUUUCGCCUGUGAAGAUAAUGACGGUAGCAGGUAAAGAAACCCCGGCUAACUCCGUGCCAGCAGCCGCGGUAAUACGGAGGGGGUUAGCGUUGUUCGGAAUUACUGGGCGUAAAGCGCACGUAGGCGGACUAAUAAGUCAGAGGUGAAAUCCCAGGGCUCAACCUUGGAACUGCCUUUGAUACUGUUAGUCUUGAGUUCGAGAGAGGUGAGUGGAAUUCCGAGUGUAGAGGUGAAAUUCGUAGAUAUUCGGAGGAACACCAGUGGCGAAGGCGGCUCACUGGCUCGAUACUGACGCUGAGGUGCGAAAGUGUGGGGAGCAAACAGGAUUAGAUACCCUGGUAGUCCACACCGUAAACGAUGAAUGCCAGUCGUCGGGUAGCAUGCUAUUCGGUGACACACCUAACGGAUUAAGCAUUCCGCCUGGGGAGUACGGUCGCAAGAUUAAAACUCAAGGAAUUGACGG
Molecule: ribosomal RNA, 860 nt
Filed under: uncultured bacterium
Lineage: Bacteria
Description: bacterial SSU rRNA
Rfam family: Bacterial small subunit ribosomal RNA
Source: RNAcentral